RNAcentral lists this transfer RNA (86 nucleotides) under Actinobacteria bacterium HGW-Actinobacteria-6. RNAcentral describes it as "tRNA-Leu". It matches the Rfam family "tRNA". Rfam says of the family: Transfer RNA (tRNA) molecules are approximately 80 nucleotides in length. Their secondary structure includes four short double-helical elements and three loops (D, anti-codon, and T loops). RNAcentral also lists the same sequence under 1 other name. Lineage: Bacteria; Bacillati; Actinomycetota. The record is from RNAcentral.
GUCGGAGUGGCGGAACGGCAGACGCGCUAGGUUGAGGGCCUAGUGAGGGCAACCUCGUGAGGGUUCAAAUCCCUUCUCCGACACCA